RNAcentral lists this long non-coding RNA (591 nucleotides) under Vigna radiata. RNAcentral's name for it is "long non-coding RNA (VRAD_LNC017314)". The record is from RNAcentral. Lineage: Eukaryota; Viridiplantae; Streptophyta; Magnoliopsida; Fabales; Fabaceae.
UUUAAUAUAACUAUUAUAAUAUAGCAGAAGGAAACAGAGUUUUAUAUAUGUACAGGGUCUAGGUAUUGGAAAUAAAUUGUAAAAGAUUAUGGUAUCGAUUAACUUAGAUUAAUUUAGGAAAAUAUUUAUUUUAAAAUUUGUGAUUGGUGAGUAAGGCAUUGUUGAGAUUAUGUAUAUGUUGAUUGUGAUAUAAAGUAUAUGAUUACAAAGUGAUGAAAGUACGAUCUAAGUAGUAAACCAAGUUCCAUAAGUUCAAGAUCUCUUGGUGAGAUCUUUAGUGUUUUAAAAUGGAAGUAGGGGCUCAGCCUUGAGAGUCAUUCUGACGCUUCAAUGGUCAAUCAAACUCACUUAGAGAGGUUGAACCAUGUGGUGAGAAGUAGCAGGAGGUCCUUAGUCUUGGGGGCUCCCAGUAUGCCUCAAGGCGCGGAACGGACUAACCUCGUGAGUGUGGCAGGAUGGGGAACCCAAGUUUCAUAAGUCACCACGGGUGCAAGACUCGCCAUAGCCCGACUCUCAUUUUAAAGUCCGGACGAGUCAGUCUAGAAAUUCACACGCUUAGGUUGUGUUCAUCAACUGUUUGAUAAAAAUUAU